GGCGUGGUGUAAUGGUUUGAGUGUUGGACUACAAUGCUGGAGACCAGGGUUCAAUUCCCUGCUUAGCCG
This 69-nucleotide transfer RNA is filed under the name Phrynosoma platyrhinos (Desert horned lizard). Its description in RNAcentral is "tRNA-OTHER". Lineage: Eukaryota; Metazoa; Chordata; Lepidosauria; Squamata; Phrynosomatidae. The record is from RNAcentral.